UAGCUUUUUUCUUAGUUAAACUUUUUUUAAGUUUAACCAAGUUUGUAGAAAAACAUGGUGAUAUCUUCGACAUACAAUCAAAAUAUACUCAAUCUUAAGAUUUAAUGAGACUAAUUUGAUGUUGUAGAUGUUGCUAUAUUUUUCAAUAAACUUGAUCAAACUUAAAAAAAGUUUGGCUUAGGAAAAAGUCAA
Molecule: microRNA precursor, 192 nt
Organism: Oryza sativa Indica Group (long-grained rice)
Lineage: Eukaryota; Viridiplantae; Streptophyta; Magnoliopsida; Poales; Poaceae
Rfam family: MIR1435 microRNA precursor family
Source: Rfam